GACGAACGCUGGCGGCGUGCCUAAUACAUGCAAGUCGAGCGAAGUUUUUCUGGUGCUUGCACUAGAAAAACUUAGCGGCGAACGGGUGAGUAACACGUAAAGAACCUGCCUCAUAGACUGGGACAACUAUUGGAAACGAUAGCUAAUACCGGAUAACAGUAUUUCUCGCAUGAGAGAUAUUUAAAAGUUGGUCAUGCUAACACUAUGAGAUGGCUUUGCGGUGCAUUAGCUAGUUGGUGGGGUAAAGGCCCACCAAGGCGACGAUGCAUAGCCGACCUGAGAGGGUGAUCGGCCACACUGGGACUGAGACACGGCCCAGACUCCUACGGGAGGCAGCAGUAGGGAAUCUUCCGCAAUGGGCGAAAGCCUGACGGAGCAACGCCGCGUGAGUGAAGAAGGAUUUCGGUUCGUAAAGCUCUGUUGUUAGGGAAGAAUGGAUAUGUAGUAACUAUACAUGUAAGGGACGGUACCUAACCAGAAAGCCACGGCUAACUACGUG
Molecule: ribosomal RNA, 499 nt
Filed under: uncultured bacterium
Lineage: Bacteria
Description: partial 16S ribosomal RNA
Rfam family: Bacterial small subunit ribosomal RNA
Source: RNAcentral